GUGGAGGCUCCUUUGGAUGGGGUGCAGGAGGGAGAAGCUGGGCAGCGUGUUUUUGAAGUAGGACAGAGGUCCGUGCCUCCUCCUCCCGAUAUUGCUGACCUUCCACCUCCCGAUAUUACUGACCUUCCACCUCCCGAGAUAGCUGACCCUUCACCUGCUGAGGCCGUUGAUCCUCCUAAUCCUUAGGUCUUAUUUUUGUAAAGACUCUAGUUUUUCAUUUGCUUUGUAAACAUUUGAACGUUUAUAAAAUUUUUUGAAUGCUCUCUAUUGGCUUUCUUGUCUGGUUUUGCCUGUUGGUUCUUUAGUGCAUCG
This 312-nucleotide long non-coding RNA is filed under the name Citrus x clementina. Its description in RNAcentral is "Citrus clementina (C. clementina) long non-coding RNA (CCLE_LNC006257)". The record is from RNAcentral. Lineage: Eukaryota; Viridiplantae; Streptophyta; Magnoliopsida; Sapindales; Rutaceae.